AUACAAUGAUGUCGACAUCUUUUCAUCAACUCUUUAUAUCUUUCUCAAGUUUCAUAUAGUUAUUCUCCUUCCUGCUGCACAAAGGAUGUAAUUUUCCCUCGCAGUUU
Small nucleolar RNA from Abrus precatorius (Indian licorice), 107 nucleotides. The record is from RefSeq and is a predicted model, not a curated record. NCBI's taxonomy places the organism in Eukaryota, Viridiplantae, Streptophyta, Magnoliopsida, Fabales, Fabaceae.